RNAcentral lists this long non-coding RNA (1419 nucleotides) under Macaca mulatta (Rhesus monkey). RNAcentral describes it as "lncRNA (ENSMMUG00000049698.1)". The record is from RNAcentral. Lineage: Eukaryota; Metazoa; Chordata; Mammalia; Primates; Cercopithecidae.
GAGGGGAAGCGCCCAAGGUCACACAGCCGGGACGUGGCAGAGCUGGGGUUCCAGCUCCUGUUCCCAUUGCUGGACAGCUGCCACAUCUGGCACCCAAUUUAGGACCCUGUGGGGAGGCCCAAGCCCCGGGGGUGGCGGGGGUUCCUAGAGGGAAGUGGCAAGGCCAGGACCCUGGAACUGAGCCAGGAAACUGAGACUCUGAGAGAUGAAGCUACUUGCCAACGCCACGCAGCUCAGCCACAUCCCACUGAACAUCAUCCUGUUCCCUGGGGUGAGUGCUGUUCUGGAAGUUGGGGGCUCAGAAGCUGUUGGUGCCCAGCUGGGAGGUCGCCCUCGCAGCUGCUAUUCGGAAUCUCUUGCCCAAGGGCUUGGGCAAGAGUGUGGGAAAUAAGUGAGAGGCUCUUGCCAGUAGAGGUGGGGUCUGGUUGUGCCCCCACCCAGCUUCCUUGCUUCUGGCUCAGGGGACAGUGGGAAGGUACUUUCUGUGAGUUCUCCCAGAGGUCCCUGGGGGUUGGGCUCCUGUUGCCCAAUGAGGAGACCUGCUCAUCCACCUUCCUUGUGUCGCUUCCUCACUCCCUCCUAGUGUUUCUAGAAUCACCUCCCAAAUAUCCCGCUUGCACCCAAACCCUUGUCUUGGCUUAGCUUCUGGGAGCCGACCUCAGCCAGCUGCUAUAAUGCUCAGGGCUUGAGAGCUUUGGAAUCAGGUGGACCUGAGUGUGAAUCCCAGCCCUGCCACUUAACCUGAGUGUGAACUUGGGAGCCUGCCCCACCUCUCGGAACCUCAGUUCCUCUGUCUAUGAAAAGGGAACUUACGUGCAGAAAACCAAGUGACUAUGAGGGGGAUGGGGCAGUGUGAGAUGACAGGACCAGAGCACGUUCCUGGCUGCAGAGCCCACAAGUCACGCUGUGAGAGCUUUUGGGGUGGUAUGGGGACAAGGGCGCAGAGGAAGAACCAGUCGCGAGUCCUCAGCCCUGUUUGACUGAUGGGGGACGGGGGUGAGUGGGAAAGAGGUACAGCGUUGUUCCACCUUCCCCACCCAUCACCCCUGAGAUUCCAAAUGCACAUUGGGACCAACCCAGGGAGCUCAGCGGAUGUUCAGGGUAGGGCAAAGAACAGGUGCCAAGUUUGCUCCCUGGGGGGUGAGACUGGGUGGCCGGACGAGCUGCAUCGGUAGGACUUUCACCAGGUAGACAGCAGGCACCUCGUCCCCGCAGAUCACAGCUUCCAGGGCCACCUGUCCACAGAAUCCCUUCCCUGAUCUGUGCUCAAGGCCGGGGUGUGGGGAACUGGGUGUCCUUCUUUUACCCUGGGUGGGGCCUCAUGCUCAAAGGGAGCUCUGUCUACCCCCACCACAAACCUGCGGUUUCCCUGCUAGAGCGAUGCACUCCCAGCCACCUGGCUGCCCAGGCCCCCAACCG